This is a long non-coding RNA of Melanaphis sacchari, 434 nucleotides long. RefSeq lists it as uncharacterized. NCBI's taxonomy places the organism in Eukaryota, Metazoa, Arthropoda, Insecta, Hemiptera, Aphididae. The transcript has 3 exons. The record is from RefSeq and is a predicted model, not a curated record.
UAUAUAUAUAUAUAUGCAAUAAGUAAAUUUGGUUACAAAAUAAAUCAACAAUAUGAAUAACGCGAGGACUGAGGAGGGAGGCUCACCUGCAGUAUGGAAACCCUCUAACUUGGGAAGAUGAGAAGAUUUUUUUAAUUGACGUGGGCGGGUUUAUCUGGGAUGAAAUCAUCUGUUAAGUUAGAUACCUACUACUGCAGUGAAUUUAUGUCUUUGUUUAAUGAGAAGUUUGAGAUGUAUUAUGGCGCAUUGGCGCAGGUGCAGUUAACUUGGUGAAGAGAGAUUCACUGAAAGACCUGGAUGAUACCUACGGUUUUUAGGAAUACUUGGCACAUCGCCAUAUUUAAAUGCCAUAGCCAUGGCAUUGGAUUUAUGUACCUAUGUUUAUAUAUACCUAUACCUAAUAUUAUUAUGUAACUGUGUUACUAUUUUUUGUG